This 1573-nucleotide long non-coding RNA is filed under the name Equus asinus (donkey). RNAcentral describes it as "lncRNA (ENSEASG00005026083.1)". Lineage: Eukaryota; Metazoa; Chordata; Mammalia; Perissodactyla; Equidae. The record is from RNAcentral.
CCAUCACCUUGAACGCGCACCCAGGAGUCUCCCCGAGUCUAAGUGCACCAGUCUGGGGACGUCCUGGUCCCAUUGUACAGAAGGCUCCAUCCCUGUGAUGAGGUCAGCUGACUCCAGUCACAUGCUGCCUCUCUAACCCGCUCCACUUAAUGAAUGUAGUUCCUCCUGCCUGCUUUGUAAAAAUCCAGUUUUAUUCUUUGCAGAAAAUACAAACGGCAUGGCCUUUUCAGGCUGGUAGCUUCCUCUCAAACCCUGCUCUUUCCUGGGCUCGGCUGAAAGAAAAUGCUGCCCGGGGCAACAUCAUGUCACCUCCUAAGAAUAUCAUAAAGGAAGGAGAUACUGCCCAUUUUACAGAUGGAAGAACCAAGGCACAAAGUGUAACAUCUUUGAGUUAAUGCAGGAAGGACAGUGGCUCUACCACACACAUGUUCGGACAAGCCCACUGAGUACAAAACUCCAGGCAUCUGGACUUGGCAAGGCCGCUGACACUGAAGAGAAUGUAACAUGCAAGACCAAGGCUGCCCCCAGCCCCACCCCUGCAUCUCCGGGGCCUCAUGUUCCUCACCUGUAAAUGAAGGGGGUGUAAGGAGGAAAACUGGACAACGAUCCCUGAGGCCCCGUCCAGCACAACAUUCUGACUGUAAGCAGAGAAGAUGCAAAUACAGUUUAAUCAAAUCUUGCUGGUCAUAACCACUUGCCCACGGUAGCUUUAAACUGAUUUUGCCAAUUUUACUACUUUUAUCACUUGACAGUAUAACAAAGAUAGGAACAUUGGAUUAAUACAACACUUUUUAGAAGUUUCAGAGGCUAGCAAAUUUUCAGCUUGGCUAAUUUGUAUGGCAACACUAUCCCAAAUGAAGGCAUGCAGACGAGAGGCUGGAAACACAGCAAACCCAGCGCCCUCAUCAAAUGUUCGCACUGUGCCAGAUCCUGGCUAAGUAUUUAUAGUGUUUUAUAUCAUGCCCUACAAUCCCAUGACAUAGAUCUGAUUACUCCCUAAAUUUUACUUGUGUAAAAAAGAUCUGUUAGAAAAACAAGAUUUGUGGUGUGAAGAGCAAAAGUUGUUUUCCACUGCGGUGUGUGCCUAAGGGCAAGCCACCCAGCUGCUCUGUCUCAAUGCCUCCACCUAUGCAACAGGAAAAUAGCCCCUGUCUCGUUCACUCACUCAACAACCAGUGACUGAGCACUCCCAGAUGUGCCAGGCACUGUGGGAGGUGCUUGGGAUCUUGGUGAACAAAACGGAUUAAAAGGACAAAAAGCCAUCAUGGCGUUGCUUAUACCUCGAACAAGGAAAGCAGAUAAUUCGUGCUGAGAACGCAGGGGGUGCUUGAUCAACCUUAGCGCCCUCUCUUCCCCCUUCAGAAAUGGAAAAAGCAUUAGAAAACAAAUCCAACAGAAGCCAGUUAAGUCAGACCCGAAACAGAAAUUUUUACCUAAUAAACAAAUACCAAAGAGCAAAGAUUAAGAGCAUUUGUGCUGGUGUCCUCUGGCCUAGGCUCAAAUUCUGACUCUGUCACUUCUUGCUGGAGUGACCCCAGGCAAGUUAUUUAAACUCCACUAAGCGUCAACUUCC